This 1202-nucleotide long non-coding RNA is filed under the name Marmota monax (woodchuck). The record is from RNAcentral. Lineage: Eukaryota; Metazoa; Chordata; Mammalia; Rodentia; Sciuridae.
CCUUUCUGCAGGGAGAAGCGGCCCAGUGACCUGUCCAAGUGCAGGAAGUGAAUCCAUGUGCAGGAGCCUCCAGAUCCUAGGAAAAAGGGUGGCUCGGGUGUUGAGAGCCACGGCCAGGUCAAGAUGGUGCCUGGCAUUUGCCAGAAGGGGGGCUCCUGCUGCACAGUUCUUGUGGGUGGAGUUCGCGUGGGUGAGAAAAUAAAGUUCAUUCCUGCUUGAAUCUACAAGUGGCUCAUGACCCCCCUGUUAUUUGUGCCCAGCCAGACUGCCGCACAGCAUCAUUUUGUUAUCAGUGCUCUCCCUUCCCCCAUUUUCUCCUUGAAUUCUAAUAUUGAUGUCUAUUUCAUUUCAUCUUUCCUAGAGAACCAGAGGCUUAAGUUUGAAUGUUGGGACAUCUUUGUUGUAUGCAUGAGCAGUCAUUUACCAUUCUUUUCUCUAUGAGCAGGCUCUUCAGUUUCCCAGUUAGAUGUGAUUUCCCAGCUAAAGUGGAUUGAAUUGCCAAGGGUGCUGGCCAAAGAAAUCUCAAAAGACUCCAGACCUGGUGAGUUGGUGAAAGGUAGGUAAGAACCUUGAAUGCAGUUGCUCACCAAGUCAGUUGGGAAGAGCCUUUGUAAUGUUGGGCAGCCUAUAUGCUAAAACAUAAGGAUGUGGAAGAGAGCCCUGCCCCUUUUGGAGUGUUCUUUUUAGUUUGAGAGACUGUUGGUUUUGGUCCUUUGAGAUGUAGAUGCCAAGGGUGAUUUCCCAUGCAAGAGAUUUAUUUUGGAAAAUUCCAAUGAAAACAAAUGGGAAGGGAGCUGGAAGAAGCCAGAGAGCUAUUACAGCAUGAUGUAAGUUUAACCUCUAUGAAUGAGGUGGGGAAGGGGGAAAGAUUGGGAAGGAAGAAUCUUGAACUGAAGAGUAGUUGUGAGAAAGUUUAGGGAAGGCCAAAGAGGAAUCCUAUGUCUCACAGAAAUGGGCCUAACUAUCCAUUGUUGGGGAAUAGCCUGUGGGCAAGUGGUCUUGCUGUGAGUACAGUGGUGGAUCACGGUAUCGGUAUCAGUAAGGACUGUAAGAUAGUCUCCUCACAGGAAGAGCUCUGAGAGGCAUAUCUUUAUAAUACUGAAAAGAUGUGAUCUGGAGUGUAUCUUACCAAUAGAGUACUUGCCUAGCAUGUUUAAGGCCUUGGAUUUGAUCCCCAGCACUGCAAAAAAAAAAAAAAAAAA